This 252-nucleotide ribosomal RNA is filed under the name uncultured bacterium. RNAcentral's name for it is "partial 16S ribosomal RNA". It matches the Rfam family "Bacterial small subunit ribosomal RNA", at positions 525 to 776 of the family's 1533-position model. The record is from RNAcentral.
ACGGAGGGUGCAAACGUUGUUCGGAAUUAUUGGGCGUAAAGAGCAUGUAGGCGGUUGUUUAAGUCUGAUGUGAAAGCCCUGGGCUCAACCCAGGAAGUGCAUUGGAUACUGGAUAACUUGAGUACGGGAGAGGAAAGUGGAAUUUCGAGUGUAGGGGUGAAAUCCGUAGAUAUUCGAAGGAACACCAGUGGCGAAGGCGGCUUUCUGGACCGAUACUGACGCUGAGAUGCGAAAGCGUGGGGAGCAAACAGG